Molecule: transfer RNA, 85 nt
Filed under: Felis catus (domestic cat)
Lineage: Eukaryota; Metazoa; Chordata; Mammalia; Carnivora; Felidae
Rfam family: tRNA
About the family: Transfer RNA (tRNA) molecules are approximately 80 nucleotides in length. Their secondary structure includes four short double-helical elements and three loops (D, anti-codon, and T loops).
Source: Rfam by way of RNAcentral
GCCUGGGUGGCUCAGUCGGUCGAGCGGCUGACUUCGGCUCAGGUCAUGAUCUCGCAGUCUGUGAGUUCGAGCCCCGCAUCAGGCU